UGGCUUAGUGGUUAAGAGCACUGACUGCUAAUCCAGAGGUCCUGGGUUCAAAUCCCAG
Molecule: non-coding RNA, 58 nt
Organism: Rattus norvegicus (Norway rat)
Lineage: Eukaryota; Metazoa; Chordata; Mammalia; Rodentia; Muridae
Source: Rfam